RNAcentral lists this ribosomal RNA (271 nucleotides) under uncultured archaeon. RNAcentral's name for it is "partial 16S ribosomal RNA". It matches the Rfam family "Archaeal small subunit ribosomal RNA", at positions 477 to 747 of the family's 1478-position model. The record is from RNAcentral.
CGGAGCCACAAGUAGGGACCAGUAUUAUUGGGCCUAAAGCGUUCGUAGCCUGUCCUGUAAAUCCUAUGUGAAAUCGUUGGACUUAAUCCAACGGCGUGCAAAGGACACUGCAGAACUUGAGACCGGGAGAGGUUAGAGGUAUUUCAGGGGUAGCGGUAAAAUGCAAUAAUCCCUGGAGGACCACCUGUGGCGAAAGCGUCUAACUAGAACGGGUCUGACGGUGAGGAACGAAAGCCAGGGGAGCGAACCGGAUUAGAUACCCGAGUAGUCC